Molecule: unclassified non-coding RNA, 175 nt
Filed under: Oryza sativa (Asian cultivated rice)
Lineage: Eukaryota; Viridiplantae; Streptophyta; Magnoliopsida; Poales; Poaceae
Description: partial microRNA MIR472a-30 precursor
Source: RNAcentral
UUCACAAUGUAAGUCAUUCUAGCAUUUCCCACAUUCGUAUUGAUGUUAAUGAGUCUAGAUAAAUAUCUAGACUCAUUAACAUCAAUACGAAUGUGGGAAAUGCUAGAAUGUAUCUAUCUAGAUUCAUUAACAUCAAUACGAAUGUGGGAAAUGCUAGAAUGACUUACAUUGUGAA